GGGGAAUAUUGGACAAUGGGGGGAACCCUGAUCCAGCCAUGCCGCGUGUGUGAAGAAGGCCUUAUGGUUGUAAAGCACUUUAAGCGAGGAGGAGGAGCUUCAGGUUAAUACCCUGGAUGCUUGGACGUUACUCGCAGAAUAAGCACCGGCUAACUCUGUGCCAGCAGCCGCGGUAAUACAGAGGGUGCGAGCGUUAAUCGGAUUUACUGGGCGUAAAGCGUACGUAGGCGGCUUUUUAAGUCGGAUGUGAAAUCCCCGAGCUUAACUUGGGAAUUGCAUUCGAUACUGGGAAGCUAGAGUAUGGGAGAGGAUGGUAGAAUUCCAGGUGUAGCGGUGAAAUGCGUAGAGAUCUGGAGGAAUACCGAUGGCGAAGGCAGCCAUCUGGCCUAAUACUGACGCUGAGGUACGAAGGCAUGGGGAGCAAAC
Molecule: ribosomal RNA, 426 nt
Filed under: uncultured bacterium
Lineage: Bacteria
Description: bacterial SSU rRNA
Rfam family: Bacterial small subunit ribosomal RNA
Source: RNAcentral